This is a long non-coding RNA of Strongylocentrotus purpuratus (purple sea urchin), 3524 nucleotides long. RefSeq lists it as uncharacterized. Lineage: Eukaryota; Metazoa; Echinodermata; Echinoidea; Camarodonta; Strongylocentrotidae. The record is from RefSeq and is a predicted model, not a curated record. The transcript is spliced from 4 exons.
ACGGCUGGCAGAAGGGCGUUAGCUCGAAUUUCAGGUCAAAAAUCGAUUUUUGAUAUUUCAUGUCAUUUAAUAGAGUUUUCAAAGCUCUUUCAAAUGAUGUGAUCGAGAUGGCAUAAAACGAAGUAAAUGAUUACGUAAUCGACAAUAGUAAAAGGGCGUUAGCACAAACUGUCAGAUAUCGCGCUAAGCAGAAGGGCGUAAGCCCUCUACGCCCUUUGCAUAUUAGGCGCGAGCGUAAAUUUUGAUCAAAGCAGAAGGGCGUUAUCGCGAAGCUGACGUCUGCUAGGCCUGUGGUAAGCAAAAUAACUGCUUCUUCUUUUAAAUAACGUGUUGUAAAUGUCAAAUUAUCUGGAAGAUUUGAUAUAUUUGGUCACACUGAUUACAUUAUGAUUAGGAUCGUUAGAAUAUUUUGAUUUUAUCGGGUAAAAAUGCGAUGUAUAAUGAUGAUAAUUAAUACGUUGCCCCAUGUAUUGAUUUAUAUGGUAUCACGGGCAAGUAGAGUCAUUACGCAUUAUCAUUGACUCUCUGUGCUGGGGUGGAUGUUGAGUGGCAUUGACUCUAUGCUUUGCUGGAGUGGGUUGCAAUGGAAGCGCUCCCUUGAAGUUGAAGGCCUCCAAAUAUGAAGUAGAUCUAGGUCUAGCAACUAGCAUCAAGCCCCAAGUCAAGGGUGAUUUUCGAAAGUGCGUUCCACGCAGUUACUAGCUGUCCCGAGGGAAAACGUCAGUUCCGGUAGAGUUGGGUGCGGGAUGUGAUGUUGUUUGUGUGAGGUUGUUCAGUUAGAUCAAGAUACAUGUACAGUAUGUAGGAGUAGUCGUCAAUCUAUAGAUCUAUGUGCCGUGAUAAUCAUUUCACUGUUUUUUCGCUCAUGGAAAGACGAGACAAGACAACAAUUUGUAAAGACAGUGGUACGGAUUGAAAUUUGAAAGCAUGCUUAGCGUAGAUCUACAAAAUUAGUUAAAUAAAUGCCAGAUUGUUAGUAGUAUACCGUAUUCAGGUAUUAUUAUACCAAUUGCAACAGUGCAAGCAGAUUCUAGACUCUAGAGGUCUAAUACUUUUUAUUGUUCAAAUUAAAUUUGCAAAAAUGAUAGUAGUCUACAGAUAUGAAAGGAGAAUGGUUUGAAUUUUGAUACCUUUGUCUUUUAGUGGCUUUGUUCAAAUUUAAUCAAGGGCAAUCUCAAAUGAUAGUUGCAUGUCUAGAACUCAAGUUUCUACUUUCCGCUACAAGUAUUGGGGACGGUCAAUUGUAAAGUAGCUUGUAAGUUAGAUUAGAUCUACUUUCAGUCAAAAUUAAUGUAACCCUUUUGUUUCCCUCACUUUGUCAGGAUUUGCACAGCUAGGCUACAGCAUGGAGCAAACAAAAGAAUUGCUUGUUCAGUGGAAAAAAGAUGGCUCCAAAAACCGUGGUAGUGUAUGGAGAUAUAUUCAAUGUCCCUGUAAUCCAAUAAAAGGGACAAAAGUCUUCAUGCCUUGGAAAGGCAGGAGAUGGGAGGGAGUUGUCCUGUCAGUGGAUGAUGAGUCUGAGGAAAGUGAUGAUGACAGCAUACCAGAUCAACCAAGGCUUGACGUUGGAGAUGUCGGUGUCGGUGUCAGAAUGACAGACCAUGGACCUCUACCAGAUCAACCAAGGCUUGACGUUGGAGAUGUCGGGUCACAAUGACAGACAUGCCUCAUUGAAGUUCAAAUGUGUCAACAUUUCAUAUGUUUACAUGAAGUGUUUAGUACAUGCUCCCAGUGUCUUGUUUCCCUGUGUGAACACCACUUCAAAGAGGACAACCCAUGUGCAAACCACAAUAACUAUGCUCAUCUACUUCAAAUUCCGGAGAGGUUUUCAGAAGAUCAUCCAGCGAUCGACACAGUUCUGGAAUUGAUGACGGUUGUUCCCUUAGCAAUCGAAGUGCAGGAGACAGUUGACAUAGUUUCAAGUUAUCCAAGCAGACAGUGAAGGUAGUACUGAAAAAUAUUAAUGUCUCAAAUGUCACCAAUUUGAGUUUGUAGUUUACAGUGGGCAUUGUCUUUAGGAAUUAUAAGUCAGUUUGUUGCAAUUAUGCUGUUGCAGACACCUCUACAAUAUUCAUUAAUCAAAACAACAACCUCUUAAGCUAACUUUUGAACCAUUUAUUUCUCCUACAAUAUUUACUUCAAAAAUGGGUUUUACAUUUCUAUGUCAUAAAGUUUAUUCUUGUGUACUUUACAGAGAGUGGCUUCUACACAGAGAUAUUGGAGAACGUCCUGAACAAAGUGAGGUAAAAGUCUGAAGCUUUAAAAUGGUUGCCUGUUACAAAUUCUGCCAAGGGAGUGGAGAAUUUUCUUUGAAAAAGAUAAAUGUAUUUUAGUUGUACCAGAAAAUGGCUGGUGUACAUCUCUUUAGACAGAGUAAAUGGAAUAAUUGCUCUGCUUCCCUCUGAUGGAGGGGUUCUGGGAUAAAUGACCAUGCAGACGUACUGCAAUUCUCUUCUUUCUCCUCCCAUCUCUCUUUCUCUCUCUCUCUCUUUCACUCCCUUAUUUCUUGAUGAUGGCUGGGUUUAAAGGUGGGGUAAGGGGAGAGAGUGAAUGUAUUGGUUCAUUAAAUCAAGGCAAGAGAGGAGAAGCAAAAGGAGAGAAGCAUGUCAGUCAGAUUGCAAGGUUACAGUCAUUUACAUUGACUUGCUGCAGUGUUGACUCCUUCAUCCUUCACCAGUACUUUUACUUUUAUAGAAUUUUGCACUCUGUACAGUUCAAAGCAUGAAUAUGUUAAACUAAUAUUUUGUCCACCACUUUUAUAUUUUUUAUUCUAAUACAGAAUAAGAGAGCCAGGAAACGUAUUGCAGAUCCCAACAGCUGCUAAAGUUUCACUUAUUGUCAUACUUUUUUGUAUCGCCUUUGAUAAUGCUGAAAUAUUUUUGAAGUAUUUUCUCUUUUGUUAACUUACUGCACAGUACGUUAACUGCAGAAUACACAAAGUUCUUUUAAGAGCUACCAUGUUGUACUUUCUGCCAUAAACGUGUGCUACAGUUUCACUUAUUGUCAUACUUUUUUUUUUAUAUCGCCUUUGAUAAUGCUGAAAUAUUGUUCAAGUAUUUUCUCGUAUGUUAACCUACUGCACAGUACGUUAACUGCAGAAUACACAAAGUUAUUUUAAGAGCUACCAUGUUGUAAUUUCUGCCAUGAACAUGUGCUACAGUUUCACUUAUUGUCAUACAAUUUUGUUUAUUUGCCUUUGAUAAUGCUGAUAUAUUGUUCAAGUAUUUUCUCUUUUGUAAACUUACUGCACAGUUUUUAAAACUAUGCUACAAAAGCUCACUAGAGCUAGAACAGAUUCAACGCAGAAUACAAAACUUUCUUUUGAGAGCUACCAUGUUGUUCUUUCUGCCAUGAGCAUGUGCUACAGAUAAGUUCCAAUUUUUAUAUUUAAUCAUGAUUCAUUAUGAUUGAUUAAUUUUGAAUGAUUGUACAUGGAAUUGUAAAAUGAACUGUACAAAAAGGAUUCCAGUUAUAUUGCAAAGAAAUAAAUUCAGUCAUUACCAUGACAGAAGUGUUCAUCUUAA